AGCGAACGCUGGCGGCAGGCUUAACACAUGCAAGUCGAACGCCCCGCAAGGGGAGUGGCAGACGGGUGAGUAACACGUGGGAACGCACCCUUUGGUUAGGAAUAACUUGGGGAAACUCAAGCUAAUACCGGAUAAGCCCUUAUGGGGAAAGGUUUACUGCCGAAGGAUCGGCCCGCGUCUGAUUAGCUAGUUGGUGAGGUAAUGGCUCACCAAGGCGACGAUCAGUAGCUGGUCUGAGAGGAUGAUCAGCCACACUGGGACUGAGACACGGCCCAGACUCCUACGGGAGGCAGCAGUGGGGAAUAUUGGACAAUGGGGGCAACCCUGAUCCAGCCAUGCCGCGUGAGUGAUGAAGGCCUUAGGGUUGUAAAGCUCUUUUACCCGGGACGAUAAUGACUGUACCGGGAGAAUAAGCCCCGGCUAACUUCGUGCCAGCCGCCGCAGUAA
Molecule: ribosomal RNA, 447 nt
Filed under: uncultured bacterium
Lineage: Bacteria
Description: partial 16S ribosomal RNA
Rfam family: Bacterial small subunit ribosomal RNA
Source: RNAcentral